Non-coding RNA from Vicia faba (fava bean), 294 nucleotides. NCBI's taxonomy places the organism in Eukaryota, Viridiplantae, Streptophyta, Magnoliopsida, Fabales, Fabaceae. The record is from the annotation of a GenBank genome assembly.
AUGGUUGAUAACUUAGACGCCUUAGGAAAUUUUAAUUGGCCGAAAGUUAUCUUUGAUAAUCUCCAUGCCUCAUUCGCGAAACUUAAGCAUUUGAAGGAUGACCCGGAUAAGGAACAACACUACUUCAGCGGGUUCGCUCCAAUUUUUGAGGCCGUUGUAUUUAGUAGAAUACAAUCCUUAGCGCCAAAGCCAAAGCCAGAGCUUGCUUGUCUCCAUCCUCCCAUACAAAGUUACAGCAGUAAAAGGACCGGAUGGAGGCCGUUGAACACGAUCGAAGCCUCAGAGGUAUUAUAA